Molecule: ribosomal RNA, 497 nt
Filed under: uncultured bacterium
Lineage: Bacteria
Description: partial 16S ribosomal RNA
Rfam family: Bacterial small subunit ribosomal RNA
Source: RNAcentral
GAUGAACGCUGGCGGCGUGCCUAAUACAUGCAAGUCGAGCGAACGGACGAGAAGCUUGCGGCUCUGAUGUUAGCGGCGGGCGGGAGAGAAACACGUGGAUAACCUACCUAUAAGACUGGGAUAACUUCGGGAAACCGGAGCUAAUACCGGAGAAUAUUUUGAACCGCAGGGUUCAAAAGUGAAAGACGGUCUUGCUGUCACUAAUAGAUGGAUCCGCGCUGCAUUAGCUGGUUGGUAGGGUAAAGGCUUACCAAGGCAACGAUGCAUGGCCGAGCGCAUAGGGUGAUCGGCCACACUGGAGCGGGGACACGGUCCAGGCUACUGCGGGAGGCCGCAGUAGCGAAUCUUCCGCAGCGGGCGAAAGCCUGACGGAGUAACGCCGCGUGUGUGAUGAAGGCCCUCGGAUCGUAAAACUCUGUUAUUAGUUAUGAACAUAUGUGUACUUAACUGUGCAGAGCGUGACGGUACCUAAUCAGAAAGCCACGGCUAACUACGUG